GCCUAACAAGUUCUUGAUGUCUGAUGAAAGCAUUUUAGGUGGCUGAAACAGUUACUUUAACUAAGGCUGAAGUUUUAUCUGCAAGAACAUCUUGAUGGUGCAAGGCAUCCACAUGUAUGUACGAGGAUUUGUAUUACAGCUUGGCAAGUCUCACACGCGGUGCCGUUAAAACCCUGGGUGCACUGACAGACGCCUGUGCCAUUGAUCCCAUCUACACAUAUGCCGUUGCCGAAACAGGACUGACCUUCAGGCCCCGGACACUUCUCACAGUUAACGCCAUAAUAACCUGCACAACACUUUCUUUCCUGCAAACAGACAGAAACUGUUUCUGAUAUCUGCUUUUUUUUUUUUUUUUUUUUUUUUUUUUAAUAA
This is a long non-coding RNA of Labeo rohita (rohu), 372 nucleotides long. RefSeq lists it as uncharacterized. The transcript has 3 exons. The record is from RefSeq and is a predicted model, not a curated record. Lineage: Eukaryota; Metazoa; Chordata; Actinopteri; Cypriniformes; Cyprinidae.